AACGAACGCUGGCGGCAUGCCUAACACAUGCAAGUCGAACGAGAUCUUCGGAUCUAGUGGCGCACGGGUGCGUAACGCGUGGGAAUCUGCCCUUGGGUUCGGAAUAACAGUGAGAAAUUACUGCUAAUACCGGAUGAUGUCUUCGGACCAAAGAUUUAUUGCCCAGGGAUGAGCCCGCGUAGGAUUAGCUAGUUGGUGGGGUAAUGGCCUACCAAGGCGACGAUCCUUAGCUGGUCUGAGAGGAUGAUCAGCCACACUGGGACUGAGACACGGCCCAGACUCCUACGGGAGGCAGCAGUGGGGAAUAUUGGACAAUGGGCGAAAGCCUGAUCCAGCAAUGCCGCGUGAGUGAUGAAGGCCUUAGGGUUGUAAAGCUCUUUUACCAGGGAUGAUAAUGACAGUACCUGGAGAAUAAGCUCCGGCUAACUCCGUGCCAGCAGCCGCCGUAA
RNAcentral lists this ribosomal RNA (449 nucleotides) under uncultured bacterium. RNAcentral describes it as "partial 16S ribosomal RNA". It matches the Rfam family "Bacterial small subunit ribosomal RNA", at positions 29 to 523 of the family's 1533-position model. The record is from RNAcentral.